Non-coding RNA from Phalacrocorax carbo (great cormorant), 5082 nucleotides. The record is from RefSeq and is a predicted model, not a curated record. Lineage: Eukaryota; Metazoa; Chordata; Aves; Suliformes; Phalacrocoracidae.
GUCCCCGCCUCCGCCGCCUCCUCCUCCUCCUCGGGGACUUCCCAAGCUCCGCGCUUCCCGCCCGCCCCGCCGAGCCUCCCUGCCCCGGGCGCCGGCCUCCCCUCCCAGCGCCCCCGCCCUCUCCCGGGCACACGGCGUCCCCCUCCCCUCACACACAGCCCCCGUUCCCGCCCCGAGGAGCCCAGGGCCCGCCAGCCGAGCGGGAACCGAGACAAAGUCCAUCAAGGAGAAGCAAGCUGCCCUCCAAUCACUGCAGCCAGGGAUUCCCCAGCAUGAGGGAGAAGAGAGAGGUGCAUGGUGAUGAUGGAUGCUGGCAGGGAGCUGAGGAACUUCAGCAUUUGAACUGAGGGUGCAGGCUACAAAUCUCCCUUGAAAUAAAACCAGCUAACAUUUGGGACCACCUGCCUGGUAAAGAACAGGUAUGCUGAGAUCUCUUCUUCUUUAGAGUGUGAUCUCUGAAUUACUGUCAUCUCCCAUCACUGCACCCACGACUGGUCACGGGUAACACGCAGGAGUGGAGCGUGUUGGCUCUGUGAAGGAAGGAGACUUCUGUUCUAACUCUCCCAGGUAUCCACAGGUCCAUGGAAGGACUACUACCCUCGAUUAAUACCUGGGCUUCUUGCCAAUGCUUUGACCAGUUUAAGUGGGAGAGUGGGGACGUUACAAAGUGCAUCCAACUUCUGCAGUCAGCAGCACUGUGUGAUGAAUGUCACCGUAACCUAGAGAGAAGUAAGAUGGCACCAAUUCUCUUUCCAGAUCAUCGUUAGUUGAACAGGUCAGGAGCUUCAGAAUACCACAAGUGUUUAAAAACAACGGCAUCUUUGCCCUUUUCUUUUGCUCUUUCUGAGUGUGAAAUUUGGACCAAGAAGGCAGCAGACUGAGAAAAUGUCUGAAGCCUUUGGAAUGUGGCACUGCUGCCAAGUACAGCUAUACCAGGAAAACACAGGCAGAUCAACGAGCAACUGUGCCUGAGGGCUAGGAGGCAGAGGAGGGAGGUUUACUUUUGCCUAAGGAUGGUCAAAAGUGGCAGUGGGACUAUUUUAGGGAAUUAUUGAGAAGGAAUUGGAGAGCCAUGGAGAGAGGAGAAUGAAACAUGAGGAUUCCAGGUCAGAUAGAGAAGUCUUGGACAGCCAAGGAGCAAUGACAGAGCACCUUGUCGAGGGAGAGCAGAAGUCUGUCCAGCAUAGCAUGCUCCCUUUGGAAGAAGUGACUCCUCAAUAUUUCCCUGUAGGGGAGAUCUGCAGUGCUUCUCUAAAGCUGCAAGAGGAAAUCAGGUGGGAGCGGGGCUGAGGAAGCCUCUAUUCUGAAAGUACUGUGGCAAAAAUCUCUUGCAUAUAAUACUGUUUUCUUUCUCCUGAAGUGCACUCAUGUUCUUUAUUAAAGCAGAACAAUGUCUGCAGCCAUGUACCACCAUAUGGGCCAUGGGGAGAGAUUAUCCAGGUUCCCAUCAUGCAUCACAACAUAAAGGAAACAUUACUUCCUGUUUGCAAAGAGAUGGUCAAAACAAAAAUCUUUGGGUGAAAGCAUAAUGUUAUUUUAAAAGGCAUAACUGUUACCUAAAGCCUGGAGGUAAAUGGAUUAUGCAUCCAGUUCUUCAUGGAUUUUACCACUUGAUUCCGUUUGAAAAUCCCCUUCUUAAUAUUUUCAGUCAUAAAUGCCCUUAAUUUGUUUUACCUCCAACAUCUUGCUAUAUUUGGCUGAAGGGCUCUCUGAUUCCACAAGCUGCUUUCCUACUAAGUGUGAAAAUGUAACUUCUGAAGGGUUGUGUAAGUGCACUCGUUGCUAUUUCUCUUUUUACCCAAUCCAGCAGAGGGAAAUACUGCCAUCAUAGUCAAUUGAGCUGCCCUGGCAUUUUUGACAGGAUGCAGCAAAGACCAUGUCAGGUGUUACAAACCACUAAGAGAACAAUUACAUAACAUUACGGAGGUUGUGUGAGUACAGAGCUUCCCAAAGAGAGACCACAGAUCACUCCCAUGGUAGGAGCAAUCUGGGUUUUCUGUUAGGGAGCAUCUUUUGCCUCCAGAAGCUGUGAACCCUCAGCAAUACUCCUGAGAGCUGUGUAUCAGCAUGGGACCAUAUCCUCGUCUUGCUCUUGAGAUACUGUGGCUGCUACUGAGUGGAAAUGAAGCUUUCAAGCACAUCUCACAAACUGCAAUAUUUCUUUUGAGCUGCAGCCUUGGCUUAUCACUGUGAUGACUGUAGGAACACCCCAGCAUGCCUGGGAAUGCACCUCCUGCAAGGAGACUUGGAGUGAAAAGUUUGUGUACUGUUUAAGCCUGUGUAAGACAGCACUGCCUUUGAAAGGAGUGCAGGUGGGGACAUACAGACAGCCAGAUCAGAGUGAACCAGAUCAGAGAUUUUAACCUGGGUAAGUUUUUAACUAAAUCAGUUUCUCUUGUGUUGGCUCACCAUGUGCUCAGGCAGCUUUGGUGGAAGACUGUGAAGAAGUGGCAUUUGGACCUGUUGGAGUGGGUCCAGAGGAGGGCCAUGAAAACUAUCAGAAGGCUGGAACACAUCUCCUGUGAAGAAAGGCUGAGAGAGUUGGCGUUGUUCAGCCUAGAAAAGAGAAGGGUCUGGGGAGACCUUACUGAGGCAUUUCAAUACUUAAAAGGGGCUUAUAAGACAGACUUUUUACCAGGAUCUGUAGUGAUAGGACAAGGGAGGAAUGGUUUUAAGCUGAAAGACAGUAGAUUUAGAUUGGACACAAGGAAGAAGUUUUUUAAGCUGAGGGUGGUGAGACACUGGCACAGGCUGCCCAGAGAAGCUGUGGGUGCCCCAUCAUUGGAAGUGUUCAUGGUCAAGUUGGACGGGGCUUUGAGCAACCUGGUCUAGCAGAAGCUGUCCCUGCCCAUAUCAGGGGGGUUGGACAAGAUGAGCUUUCUUGGUACUUUCCAACCCAACCCAGUCUGUGAUUCUGUGACAGAGGGGAAGACAGGCUGAUUCUUUCAGCAGCUGUGCUGGUUUAUGGUGGCAUACAGCGUGUUUGAGAACUGUGAAUCCCAAGGCAGAGAGAACUUACGGGAUCAAGAGAGGAUGUUAUCACCAGGUGGACUCAGAAUGAGAGGCCUGCAGUGGACAUCAGCCCUGCAGACCACAUAGGGGUACCCCGGCCCUCAAUCAUGCCUGGAUCCUAGAGGGAUGCCAGCUCCAGCCUCUCGGCACUUCUGCUCUGCCUCCCAGGCACAACGGGGGUAAUCUGCCCCCCUUGGUGGCAAACAUGCAGCACUCGUCCUCUGCAAAACAGGCCAGAAAUCCAGAGUCUGCCCUUGACUGUCACUGGGAGAGGGGUUAAUACUGGGAAGAAUUUAGUUUGCAAGAAAAAGAAGAUAAGGAGAAUUUUUCCAAAGCUAUUCAAGGCAGUAAACACAGAAUUCAAAUUUUGGCAGAAAAUAAACUGCUUUUCAGACAGCUGAGGGCGCUCAGCACUUCUUAAGUGAAGUUGGUGUUUUGCAGGUUUGAGCCUUAAGCCAAAACACUAAAAUGCACUGAUGCUUGAAUCAAAGAUAAUGCUGCUAGUGAGCAAAGCCUGGUCAGGGGCCUAGGCUCUAACAUUGCCAACAGCUCAAAAAUAAAAGUCCCAGAGCUGGUUAAAUACCUGUGUAUGUGCUUUGGUACAGGCAUUAAUUUAAUGCCUUAAUUUUAAUGGCACCUUGAAAGAACUCUUUGAUCACAGAUUUCCCCUUCUGAAGCAGCAGGGCUUUAUUUAUUUAUUACAAUUUCAAGUAUCUCCAUAAAUGUACAACUGGAGAAAGAUGUUAAGGUAAUAUACCUGGAUAUUUAUGUUCUGACCAUCUUCUUGCAAAUUUCUCUCAUUCUGGUUUUACCCUUGUCUUUGGGAUCUGCUUCUUGACUUGACACACCUUUGCCAGAAUCACCAUCUAUAUCUGUCCUGAAUUUCCCGAGAAAAGGGCCUCUGCUGUGGUGGGUUCUGUGUUGUGGGCUCGUCUGUUCAGUUCUGGAAAGAGACACACUGACCUUAUUUCACCUGUACCAUGUUACAUUAUUGUUUUUAGGGAUUUUUACUAUAAACUAGUUUACUCUGGGUUCUCAUUUAUUUUCCAUUGAUUUCUGUAGCUUAUUCAGGCUUCUUAAAAUCCUUCUAUAAUUUUUGUUUAUUCACCACUCUUUAUUAACAAAUCUUUAAUUCCUUAGUGCUUCUAAAGCUCCUUAGGACAUGAAACAAUCCUUCUGAUUUGUUCACCGUUAUUAUUACCACCAGUGGUACGAAUAAAAUUAGUGUAUUUGUGUACUUAAUACAUACACUUAUUUAAGUCAAGUAAUUACUGCUACUAAAGUCUUGCUUAGUUGGAUGCCUCAUGUCCUUGAGAAGAAAGAUUAAUCUAGUUAUCAUGGCAAUGAUUUCUUUACUUGUUUCAGCCCUAAAGGGACAUCUUGGCUUAGAAGGUUAAGUACUUUCAUGUCAGUCAAUUGCCAUCUUUUUAAUCCUCAGAGACUUUGAUUUGGGUUUUCAAGCACUGGUAAUUAAAUUAAAGCACCUGUUACUUGCAAGGCCAGUUGACACUGGGUGUCUAGAUCAUCUCUCUUAGGUACGUGUGGGCAUGGUGAAUCUCCUCAUGUGGAAAUAAAUUGUCUUAAUUUAGGGUUCGUGUAUGACAACGUGGCUGUAAUAGUGCUUCCGAACUCGAGCCGUGCAGAGCCUCAUGGCAUGGCAUGGGCUAGCUCAUUUGCUUCAUUCAGGUGCUCCAGCACCUGAGACCAUACGCUGUUUUGUCAGGGAACAAAUGUCUUCCUCUUUUGGUCUUGCAUGACGGGUCCAACCACACAGCCAAGCUGCAGCUGGCACGGGGCCUUCAGGUGGGAUUUCCCUUUUACCCCUGAGCACAGGACUUGGCUCCUAGGUUACCCAGCUCCAUGGUUUCCCCACUGAGGGCUGAAGCACAGUGCUGCAGAGAAAAGGCAGAGAGCACUUCUUUCUUGUCCUGGUGCUCAGUUUGCUGAGAACACAUAAUUUCUCAGUACUCAUAAUCUGGAAUUCUCAACCCAUUCCAGUGUUUUCAAUGAGAUUAGAAAUGGCUUUGGCAACACGUAAGUUCCUUAUGGCACAGCCAGGCAGCACAGUAA